GACAGAGGAGCCAAGCGUUGUCCGGAUUGACUGGGCGUAAAGCGCACGCAGGCGGUCGUGCACGUGGGGUGUGAAAACUGGCGGCUUAACUGCCAGAGGCCACCUCAUACGGCGCGACUCGAGCCCGUGAGAGGUCCAUGGAAUUGCCGGUGUAGUGGUGAAAUGCGUAGAGAUCGGCAGGAACACCCAGGGAGAAAUCAGUGGACUGGCACGGUGCUGACGCUCAGGUGCGAAAGCGUGGGGAGCGAACCGG
RNAcentral lists this ribosomal RNA (253 nucleotides) under uncultured bacterium. Its description in RNAcentral is "partial 16S ribosomal RNA". It matches the Rfam family "Bacterial small subunit ribosomal RNA", at positions 524 to 776 of the family's 1533-position model. The record is from RNAcentral.